AGAGUUUGAUCAUGGCUCAGGACGAACGCUUGCGGCAUGCUUAAGCUAUGCAAGUCGAGCGGGGUCUAGUUUGAGUCUUCGGACGAUUACUAGACCUAGCGGCGAACGGGUGAGUAACACGUGAGUAACCUGCCCCGCUGUCCGGGAUAACAGCCCGAAAGGGCUGCUAAUACCGGAUACGAGGCCAGCCGCAAGGCUGGUUUGGAAAGGGGAAACCCGCAGCGAGAGGGGCUCGCGGCCUAUCAGCUAGUUGGUGAGGUAACGGCCCACCAAGGCGACGACGGGUAGCCGACCUGAGAGGGUGACCGGCCACACUGGGACUGAGACACGGCCCAGACGCUUUCGAGCGGCAGCAGUGAGGAAUUUUGGACAAUGAGCGACAGCUUGAUCCAGCUAUAUGGCGUGAGUGAUGAAGACUGUUUUGGUUGUAAAACUCUUUAAUCAAAUAUUAGAUUAUGACAAAAUUUGAAAAAUAAGUCCCGGCUAAUCUCGUGCCAGCAGCCGCGGUAAUUC
This 513-nucleotide ribosomal RNA is filed under the name uncultured bacterium. Its description in RNAcentral is "bacterial SSU rRNA". It matches the Rfam family "Bacterial small subunit ribosomal RNA", at positions 8 to 526 of the family's 1533-position model. The record is from RNAcentral.